Long non-coding RNA from Vespa crabro (European hornet), 1141 nucleotides. RefSeq lists it as uncharacterized. NCBI's taxonomy places the organism in Eukaryota, Metazoa, Arthropoda, Insecta, Hymenoptera, Vespidae. The record is from RefSeq and is a predicted model, not a curated record. The transcript is spliced from 4 exons.
UCAGGAUUCGUUUCGUUUCUUUGCUGGUGGUCUCGUCGCCAUAUUGGACAAGAGUAUGACAAAAGAAGAAGAUGUGUUACGUCGUAUUCCAUAUAAUUGAAGAUCAUUAUAGCGAUAAUGCGCGAUGGAAUGAAUAAAUCGAGCGUCGUGAGUUAAAAACGAAAGGGGAGGGGAAAGAAAAAAAAAUGGCGAAGCAGAAUUAGCAUUCGUUUGUAUAAAAUCAAAAUCUUUACACAUUUCGCGAUUUAAAUUAAUUUUAAGAAACAUACGUACUUAAAUUGACUGCGCGCAAUGCAAUAAGUUACGGAAUAAACGUUUAGCUCUUUUAAAAGUAUUAAGUACUUUUUAAAUGAUUACACACAGAGUCACUUUAUUCCUUAUGAUUAAAAAAUAAAAAAUAUCGCGAAUUAAAUUCAGUGUUGUCUCGUUAAUAAAUAAUUAAUAAUUAUCGUGUAUUAGAAUCGGUGCAUCAUGGAAGAUGAUAAAGUACACGUUCUACAUAAAAGAAUAUUGAUCUUCCUUGCAUUAUCAUUAAAUCUAUUGGAACUACAACCAAACUUCAUUUUCGAUCUAGUUUAUAUCAACCCUACUCAAUUUCAACCAACAACGUGGACGGGUAUUUUGGAGCCAUCAGAGAACUUCAUAAGUAACAAAAGGCGUUAUUAAAAUCAAGCUCGUCGGCACCUUGCGGAAUGGAAGCCGAUGCGAAGUAAAAAAAGAAAGUAGUCAAAGGAGGAAUAAGAAGGGCGGGGAGAUGAAGAGAAAGGAAAAAAAAGGAAAGAUAGAAAGAAAUAAAGAAAGAAGGAGAGGAAUUAAGUAAAAAAGUGAGUCUGACGAAGUUAAUUAAUUCCUACGGCUUUCUCCUAAAAGCGACUUCGGGAGUCUGUCACACUAUUAAUGCCGGCCGUUCACGAACACGAAGUAUACUUGUAUAUAUGUGUGCAUGAUAAAGAGAAAGAAAGAGGGAGAAAGAGAGAGAGGGGGGGAGAGAGAGGAGGAGAGAGGGAGAGAGAGACAGUCCUUGGUCUCUCGUUAAAACUUUUCAAUUAUAAGCGACUUUCUUCUCAGCAAAAAAUUUAUAUAUCAUGAAAACAAAUUGUAAAAUACGAGUAUCAUACGUUUCAACAAAUAAGUUUAAAUU